RNAcentral lists this RNase P RNA (336 nucleotides) under Syntrophomonas sp. RNAcentral describes it as "RNase P RNA component class A". It matches the Rfam family "Bacterial RNase P class A". From Rfam's summary of the family: Ribonuclease P (RNase P) is a ubiquitous endoribonuclease, found in archaea, bacteria and eukarya as well as chloroplasts and mitochondria. Its best characterised activity is the generation of mature 5'-ends of tRNAs by cleaving the 5'-leader elements of precursor-tRNAs. Cellular RNase Ps are ribonucleoproteins. The record is from RNAcentral. Lineage: Bacteria; Bacillati; Bacillota; Clostridia; Eubacteriales; Syntrophomonadaceae.
UAAGUAAAUCAGAUAGUCGCAGGCUUAACCGCCUGAGGAAAGUCGGAGCUCCGCAGGGCAGGGUGCUGGAUAAUACCCAGUGGGGGCGACCCCAAGGCAAGUGCCACAGAAACAAACCGCCACAUCAGUGGUAAGGGUGGAAAGGCGAGGUAAGAGCUCACCAGCAGACAGGUGACUGUCUGGCUAGGUAAACCCCACCUGGAGCAAGACCAAAUAGGGGGACCAUAAAGCUGCCCGUUUUAGUCCCCGGGUAAGGUCGCUGGAAAUGGCAGGCAACUGCCAUUCAAGAUAGAUGACUAUCUAAUACAGAACUCCGCUUAUAGAUUUACUUAUUUU